GUCUCUAUAGCUUAAUUGGUAAAGCGCAGUACUGUUAAUACUGUUUAUGUGUGUUCGAUUCACGCUAGAGACG
Molecule: transfer RNA, 73 nt
Filed under: Ophiostoma piliferum
Lineage: Eukaryota; Fungi; Ascomycota; Sordariomycetes; Ophiostomatales; Ophiostomataceae
Description: tRNA-Asn
Rfam family: tRNA
About the family: Transfer RNA (tRNA) molecules are approximately 80 nucleotides in length.
Source: RNAcentral